GACGAACGCUGGCGGCGUGCUUAACACAUGCAAGUCGAACGGAAAGGCCCUGCUUUUGUGGGGUGCUCGAGUGGCGAACGGGUGAGUAACACGUGAGUAACCUGCCCUUGACUUUGGGAUAACUUCAGGAAACUGGGGCUAAUACCGGAUAGGAGCUCCUGCUGCAUGGUGGGGGUUGGAAAGUUUCGGCGGUUGGGGAUGGACUCGCGGCUUAUCAGCUUGUUGGUGGGGUAGUGGCUUACCAUGGCUUUGACGGGUAGCCGGCCUGAGAGGGUGACCGGCCACAUUGGGACUGAGAUACGGCCCAGACUCCUACGGGAGGCAGCAGUGGGGAAUAUUGCACAAUGGGCGGAAGCCUGAUGCAGCAACGCCGCGUGCGGGAUGACGGCCUUCGGGUUGUAAACCGCUUUCGCCUGUGACGAAGCGUGAGUGACGGUAAUGGGUAAAGAAGCACCGGCUAACUACGUG
This 468-nucleotide ribosomal RNA is filed under the name uncultured bacterium. RNAcentral describes it as "partial 16S ribosomal RNA". It matches the Rfam family "Bacterial small subunit ribosomal RNA", at positions 28 to 507 of the family's 1533-position model. The record is from RNAcentral.